CACACAACAUCCAAGAGCAGGACCUUCCAUGCUGUGGCUGAAUCGAUCACUUUUGAUAAGGCUGGCUGCAGUGCCACAGAGGAGGAUGAGGACUCGACCCGCUGUGGUUUUAUGUGCCACGUGUCUGCAGGCAAAGACGUGCUGUGGAGUUUUAUGACCACGAUGUUUCAGUCUCACAGCCAAACACACCUGCGUCUGGUGGGUUUAAGCCUGUUCAACUGCUACUUUACUAUUCAGU
This is a long non-coding RNA of Thalassophryne amazonica, 238 nucleotides long. RefSeq lists it as uncharacterized. The transcript has 2 exons. The record is from RefSeq and is a predicted model, not a curated record. NCBI's taxonomy places the organism in Eukaryota, Metazoa, Chordata, Actinopteri, Batrachoidiformes, Batrachoididae.